CCUACGGGAGGCAGCAGUAGGGAAUCUUCCACAAUGGGCGCAAGCCUGAUGGAGCAACACCGCGUGAGUGAAGAAGGGUUUCGGCUCGUUAAGCCCUGUUGUUGGAGAAGAAAGUGCGUGAGCGUAACUGUUCACGCAGUGACGGUAUCCAACCAGAAAGUCCCGGCUAAAUACGUGCCAACAGCCGCGGUUAUACGAGGGUGGCAAGCGUUAUCCGGAUUUUUUGGGCGUAAAGCGAGCGCAGGCGGUUGCUUAGGUCUGCUGUGAAAGCGUUCGGCUUAACCGAAGAAGUGCAGCGGAAACCGGGCGACUUGAGUGAAGAAGAGGACAGUGGAACGCGAUGUGUAGCGGUGGAAUGCAUAGAUA
Molecule: ribosomal RNA, 366 nt
Filed under: uncultured bacterium
Lineage: Bacteria
Description: partial 16S ribosomal RNA
Rfam family: Bacterial small subunit ribosomal RNA
Source: RNAcentral